CCUACGGGAGGCAGCAGUGGGGAAUAUUGGGCAAUGGACGCAAGUCUGACCCAGCAACGCCGCGUGAAGGAAGAAGGCUUUCGGGUUGUAAACUUCUUUUAAGGGGGAAGAGGAGAAGACGGUACCCCUGGAAUAAGCCACGGCUAACUACGGGCCAGCAGCCGCGGUAAUACGGAGGGGGCAAGCGUUGUCCGGAUUUACGGGGGGGAAAGGGAGGGUCGGCCGGAUGUCAAGCGUGCUGGGAAAUGUCCGGGCGCAACCCGGGCCUUGCCGCGCGAACUGGCGUGCUUGAGUCCGCGGCAAGCAGGCGGAAUUCGUCGUGUAGCGGUGAACUGCUUAGAUCUGACGCAGAACCCCGAUUGCGAAGGCAGCUUGCUGCAGCGGAACUGCCGCUGAUGCUCGAAAGCGCGGGUAUCGAACAGGAUUAGAUACCCGAGUAGUC
RNAcentral lists this ribosomal RNA (442 nucleotides) under uncultured bacterium. Its description in RNAcentral is "partial 16S ribosomal RNA". It matches the Rfam family "Bacterial small subunit ribosomal RNA", at positions 338 to 795 of the family's 1533-position model. The record is from RNAcentral.